CAGUAGCCACGGUAAUACGGAGGAUCCAAGCGUUAUCCGGAUUUAUUGGGUUUAAAGGGUGCGUAGGUGGCCUGUUAAGUCAGGGGUGAAAGACGGUAGCUUAACUAUCGCAGUGCCCUUGAUACUGAUGGGCUUGAAUGAACUAGAGGUAGGCGGAAUGUGACAAGUAGCGGUGAAAUGCAUAGAUAUGUCACAGAACACCGAUUGCGAAGGCAGCUUACUAUGGUUUGAUUGACGCUGAGGCACGGAAGCGUGGGGAUCAAACAGGAUUAGAUACCCCCGUAGUCCCUGUCUCUUAUAC
This 301-nucleotide ribosomal RNA is filed under the name uncultured bacterium. Its description in RNAcentral is "partial 16S ribosomal RNA". It matches the Rfam family "Bacterial small subunit ribosomal RNA", at positions 509 to 807 of the family's 1533-position model. The record is from RNAcentral.